CAGCCUGGCCCCGUUCCCGGUGUCUCCUGACGCCGGGACAUGUCCCGAGCUCGCAGGGCUGUAACAUUCAACUCCAAAUUCUUCCCUCCACCCACGUGCCCGGGCCAAGCCAAGGGAGGCAAAUGUUUCCCUGGCUGGGGGCUUUGAAGUGGCCACACGGAGAUGAAAGGGGGGGAUUUUGGAGCUGGUGUGAGGCGUGAACAAACUUCCUUCCCGCUUUCGUGCUUUAUUUUCCAGCUAGAAAACGUGAUGUUCCUUUGGUUUUUAAGGAAAUGGGGGGAGAAAAGAUGGGGCUGGCAGGCUGGGGGGGUUGCUGUGGGACGGGGGAGCCCGGCCCUGGCAGUGACCCCGGGUUUGUUUUGGGUAGGGCUGACCCAAACACAGCCGGCCAUUCCCGGCCGGGCCGUUGUGAGCGGGAUCUACAGAAAAUCCGCGGAACACCGUGUCCCCAAACAGAAUUAGUUCAAGACAGGUGGACUCGGGGCCUUUGGCUCGGGCUCAAAGGCGAGUUGGAGAUGGGAUUUGAUGGGAUGGGGACGGAGCAUAUGGUAUCCAUAGCUGGAAAAGUACUGGGCUGGCGGGAGCAGGUAGGGCAGGGGGAGCUGCCUGUGGAGCCAGAGGGUCCCCCCCCGUCACUGCCACGAGUGUGGGGUGCACCCCCUUCCUGGGACCCCCCAUGGAGGCAGGGGUGGUUUUUACUUGUAUUCCAAUGGGGGGAUCGGUGCCAGUGGGAUUCUGUUGGUGCAGCUCGGGGGACUCAGCUGGUCGUGGCCCUGCUGGUUUGGCACAGGGGCCUGCUGGGGGAGAGGAGCAUCCCCGAGGACACCCCCCAGGCCCUGGGGACACGGCGUGUCCCACGGGAAGGGCUCACCCACGGGAAGGGCUCACCCACGGGAAGGGCUCGGUGGCUGCGGGAUAUGGGCGGUGGGGGGGAGCAGCACCAAAGAGUUUGGACUGAGGGCAAUCCCGGGGGACAAUCCUGGGAGCAACUGUGGGGGAAAUUCUGAAGAGGCCAGCCCUGGGGGACAAUCCUGGGAGCAACUGUGN
Molecule: long non-coding RNA, 1047 nt
Filed under: Lepidothrix coronata (blue-crowned manakin)
Lineage: Eukaryota; Metazoa; Chordata; Aves; Passeriformes; Pipridae
Description: lncRNA (ENSLCOG00000002546.1)
Source: RNAcentral